RNAcentral lists this unclassified non-coding RNA (221 nucleotides) under Hevea brasiliensis (rubber tree). Lineage: Eukaryota; Viridiplantae; Streptophyta; Magnoliopsida; Malpighiales; Euphorbiaceae. The record is from RNAcentral.
GUGACUCGAUGAGCUGAAUUGGGAGAGAGAAGAAGCUCAGAGUGGCUCCAUGACCAAGUUGAGAGAACUCCCAGAGCAUUACAGUAGAUAGAAAUAAGACAAUUGUACAAAUUGGCUUAGCAAAGCUCGAGUCUGAUACCAUAAGAGAAUGGACCUCGGGCCUAACUCAACCUUCAAAAGCUAGCUCAUGAGGCGAGUAUUGCCCAAGACCAUACAAGGAG